GAUGAACGCUGGCGGCGUGCCUAAUACAUGCAAGUCGAGCGAACAGAUAAGGAGCUUGCUCCUUUGACGUUAGCGGCGGACGGGUGAGUAACACGUGGAUAACCUACCUAUAAGACUGGGAUAACUUCGGGAAACCGGAGCUAAUACCGGAUAACAUAUUGAACCGCAUGGUUCAAUAGUGAAAGGCGGCUUUGCUGUCACUUAUAGAUGGAUCCGCGCCGUAUUAGCUAGUUGGUAAGGUAACGGCUUACCAAGGCAACGAUACGUAGCCGACCUGAGAGGGUGAUCGACCACACUGGAACUGAGACACGGUCCAGCCUCCUACGGGAGGCAGCAGUAGGGAAUCUUCCGCAAUGGGCGAAAGCCUGACGGAGCAACGCCGCGUGAGUGAUGAAGGUCUUCGGAUCGUAAAACUCUGUUAUCAGGGAAGAACAAAUGUGUAAGUAACUGUGCACAUCUUGACGGUACCUGAUCAGAAAGCCACGGCUAACUACGUG
This 497-nucleotide ribosomal RNA is filed under the name uncultured bacterium. Its description in RNAcentral is "partial 16S ribosomal RNA". It matches the Rfam family "Bacterial small subunit ribosomal RNA", at positions 28 to 507 of the family's 1533-position model. The record is from RNAcentral.